This 253-nucleotide ribosomal RNA is filed under the name uncultured bacterium. RNAcentral describes it as "partial 16S ribosomal RNA". It matches the Rfam family "Bacterial small subunit ribosomal RNA", at positions 524 to 776 of the family's 1533-position model. The record is from RNAcentral.
UACGUAGGGCGCAAGCGUUGUUCGGAUUUACUGGGCGUAAAGGGCGCGUAGGCGGCGUGUUAAGUCAGCUGUGAAAUCUCCAAGCUCAACUUGGAACGGCCAGCUGAUACUGAUGUGCUAGAGUGCAGAAGGGGCAAUCGGAAUUCUUGGUGUAGCGGUGAAAUGCGUAGAUAUCAAGAGGAACACCUGAGGUGAAGACGGGUUGCUGGGCUGACACUGACGCUGAGGCGCGAAAGCCAGGGGAGCAAACGGG